RNAcentral lists this ribosomal RNA (1341 nucleotides) under Ceratapion penetrans. RNAcentral's name for it is "partial 16S ribosomal RNA". The stretch from base 1166 to 1226 matches the Rfam family "tRNA". The record is from RNAcentral. Lineage: Eukaryota; Metazoa; Arthropoda; Insecta; Coleoptera; Brentidae.
UUCAGAGGAACCUGUCCUAUAAUUGAUAGUCCACGAUUUAAUUUACUUAUUUUAUUAAUUUACAUAUCGCCGUAGUUUGAAUAUUUUUAAAGAAAAUAAAUAUUCAAAAUUUUACAUGUAAAAUUAAUUCAGGUCAAGGUGUAGUUUAUAGAUAAGAAGUGAUGGGUUACAAUAAAUUUAUUUAAACAGAUAAUUAUUUUGAAAAAUAAUUUGAAGGCGGAUUUGAAGGUAAUUUUUAUUAAAUAAUAAAUAUGAUUUUAGCUCUAAAAUAUGUACAUAUCGCCCGUCAUUUUCACUAUAAAGUGAAACAAGUCGUAACAUAGUAGGUGUACUGGAAAGUGUACCUAGAAAGGCAAAUUAGAGCUUGAUAUAAAGCAUUUUAGUUACAUUAAAAAGUUUAUUGUGAAAAUCAAUAUAAUUUGAGUAAAAUUUAUUAUUAAAAAUUUGAAUUUAAAAGACUAUUUUAAUAAAAUAAUUGAUUGUUUAAUUAUAUAAGUAGAAAAAAUUUUUUUAUUAUAGUAAAUUAGUAUUGUGAAAGAAUUAAUUAGAAUUUUUAAAAGAAUAAUUAAUUUUUAGUACCUUGUGCAUCAGGGUUAAUCGAAUAAAUACUAUAAAAUUAGUCCUCUCGAAUUUAAAAGAGCUAUAAAAUUAUAAUUUUUAUUGUAACAUAAAUAUUAAUAAUAAUUUUAUUGUAAUGAAAUGUUAUUCGUUUUUAAGUAUAUCUAGUUUUUUAGGAAAUAAAUUUAAUUUAGUCGAUAAAAAUAUUUAUUUAAAUUUUUAAUUAAAUAUUAUUAUUGUUUAAUAUUUUAAGGGAUGAGCUUUAAAAUAAAUUAUUAGAAAUUAUUAUAAAAUUUAGUUAAGUAGGAUUAAAAGUUUUUAUCUUUAAUAGUAUGUUAUAAUUAAUUUAAUAUAUUAUAAAAUUUAUAUUAAUUUUAAAUUUUUUAUUAAAAUAUUAGUUUUAUUUAUAUAUGUUAAGAAAUAAUGAUUAAAUUAGUAUAAUUUAUUGUAUUUUAUUAAUAAAUUAAGAUUAAGUAAAGGAAUUCGGCAAAGGAUUUUCACCUUCAAACCGGUGUGAGCCAGGUUGGUUUCUAUCUCGAAAUAGUUAAUAUAUUUUAGUACGAAAGGACCAAAUAUUUAGUAAAAAUUUUAAUUUAAGGAUAAUAUUAUUAUUUUGGCAGAAUAGUGCGAUAGAUUUAGAAUCUUUAUAUGUAGUUUUACAAAUAAUAUUGUUAUUUAAAGAUUUUAUAAUAAUGAUGAUUUCUAGUGUAAUUUUAGCUUUAAGAGUAAUACUGGGAGUAGCUUUUUUGACUUUAUUAGAACGAAAGAUUUUAGGAUAUAUUC